GUCUACGGCCAUGCCACUCUGAACAUGCCCAAUCUCAUCUAAUCUUGGAAGCUAAGCAGGGUCAGCCUGGUUAGUACUUGGAUGGGAGACCAUCUAGGAAUAUCAGGUGCUGUAGGCA
Molecule: ribosomal RNA, 118 nt
Filed under: Pteropus alecto (black flying fox)
Lineage: Eukaryota; Metazoa; Chordata; Mammalia; Chiroptera; Pteropodidae
Source: RNAcentral